UACGUAGGGGGCGAGCGUUUGUCCGGAUUUAUUGGGCGUAAAGAGCUCGUAGGUGGUUUGGUAAGUCGGAUGUGAAAUCUCCAGGCUCAACCUGGAGGGGUCAUUCGAUACUGCCAUGACUAGAGUUCGGUAGGGGAGUGUGGAAUUCCUGGUGGAGCGGUGAAAUGCGCAGAUAUCAGGAGGAACACCCGUAGCGAAGGCGGCACUCUGGGCCGAUACUGACACUGAGGAGCGAAAGCGUGGGGAGCGAACAGG
This 255-nucleotide ribosomal RNA is filed under the name uncultured bacterium. Its description in RNAcentral is "partial 16S ribosomal RNA". It matches the Rfam family "Bacterial small subunit ribosomal RNA", at positions 524 to 776 of the family's 1533-position model. The record is from RNAcentral.